AACUUGUAACAACGGAUCACUUGGCUCUCGCGUCGAUUAAGAACGCAGCGAAAUGCGAUAAGUAAUGUGAAUUGCAGAAUUCAGUGAAUCAUCGAAUCUUUGAACGCACCUUGCACCCCUUGGUAUUCCGAGGGGUGCACCCGUUUGAGUGUCGUGAACACCCUCAACCUUUUUGGUUUAUCAACCGAGAAGGCUUGGACUUUGGAGGUUUUUGUUGCUGGCCUCGUUUGAAGCCAGCUCCUCCUAAAUGAAUUAGUGGGGUCCGCUGUGCCGAUCCUCGACGUGAUAAGUACGCUUCUACGUCUUGGGGUUUCGCACUGUUGCCCUGGAAUCCCGCUUCCAACCGUCUUUGAAUGAAGACAAUGUUCGAGUUGCGACUCGACCUUAUAAACCUUGACCUCAAAUCGGGUGAGACUACCCGCUGAACUUAAGCAUAUCAAUAAGCGGAGGCU
Molecule: unclassified non-coding RNA, 452 nt
Filed under: uncultured Russula
Lineage: Eukaryota; Fungi; Basidiomycota; Agaricomycetes; Russulales; Russulaceae
Description: sequence contains ITS2
Rfam family: 5.8S ribosomal RNA (bases 1-154)
Source: RNAcentral